Long non-coding RNA from Dreissena polymorpha, 468 nucleotides. RefSeq lists it as uncharacterized. The transcript is spliced from 2 exons. Lineage: Eukaryota; Metazoa; Mollusca; Bivalvia; Myida; Dreissenidae. The record is from RefSeq and is a predicted model, not a curated record.
UUUUUAACCAGGUUUUCCGAAGGAAAAAACUGGUUAUUAGAUUGGCGAAUGCGGGCGGGCUGGCUGGCUGGCGGGCUGGCUGGCUGGCGGGCUGGCGGAAUAAGCUUGUCCGGGCCAUAACUAUGUCGUUCAUUGUCAGAUUUUAAAAUCAUUUGGCACAUUUGUUCACCAUCAUUGGACGGUGUGUCGCGCGAAAUAAUUACGUCGAUAUCUCCAAGGUCAAGGUCACACUUUGAGUUCAAAGGUCAAAAAUGGCCAUAAAUGAGCUUGUCCUGGCCAUAACUAUGUCAUUCAUUGUGAGAUUUUAAAAUCAUUUGGCACAUUUGUUCACCAUCAUGGGACGGUGUGUCCCACGAAAGAAUCACGUCAAUAUCUCCAAUGUCAAGGUCGCCACGACUAAAAAUAGAUUUAAAAAAAAAAAAAAAAUUACAAAGGGGGUUAAUUUUUUUUGGUCAUUUCAAAAGUUCA